GACGAACGCUGGCGGCGUGCCUAAUACAUGCAAGUAGAACGCUGAAGGAGGAGCUUGCUUCUCUGGAUGAGUUGCGAACGGGUGAGUAACGCGUAGGUAACCUGCCUGGUAGCGGGGGAUAACUAUUGGAAACGAUAGCUAAUACCGCAUAAGAGUAGAUGUCGCAUGACAUUUGCUUAAAAGGUGCAAUUGCAUCACUACCAGAUGGACCUGCGUUGUAUUAGCUAGUUGGUGAGGUAACGGCUCAACAAGGCAACGAUACAUAGCCGACCUGAGAGGGUGAACGGCCACACUGGGACUGAGACACGGCCCAGACUCCUACGGGAGGCAGCAGUAGGGAAUCUUCGGCAAUGGACGGAAGUCUGACCGAACAACGCCGCGUGAGUGAAGAAGGUUUUCGGAUCGUAAAGCUCUGUUGUAAGAGAAGAACGAGUGUGAGAGUGGAAAGUUCACACUGUGACGGUAUCUUACCAGAAAGCGACGGCUAACUACGUG
RNAcentral lists this ribosomal RNA (495 nucleotides) under uncultured bacterium. RNAcentral's name for it is "partial 16S ribosomal RNA". It matches the Rfam family "Bacterial small subunit ribosomal RNA", at positions 28 to 507 of the family's 1533-position model. The record is from RNAcentral.